This 372-nucleotide ribosomal RNA is filed under the name uncultured organism. RNAcentral's name for it is "bacterial SSU rRNA". It matches the Rfam family "Bacterial small subunit ribosomal RNA", at positions 526 to 896 of the family's 1533-position model. The record is from RNAcentral.
CAGAGGUCCCAAGCGUUGUUCGGAUUUACUGGGCGUAAAGGGUGCGUAGGUGGUCGGGUAAGUCUCAUGUGAAAUCUCCAAGCUCAACUUGGAAAUGGCAUGGGAUACUAUUCGGCUAGAGGAUUGGAGGGGGGACUGGAAUUCCCGGUGUAGCAGUGAAAUGCGUAGAUAUCGGGAGGAACACCAGUGGCGAAGGCGAGUCCCUGGACAAUUCCUGACGCUGAGGCACGAAAGCUAGGGGAGCAAACAGGAUUAGAUACCCUGGUAGUCCUAGCUGUAAACGGUGCUCACUUGCUGUAGACGGAAUCGACCCCGUCUGUGGCGAAGCUAACGCGUUAAGUGAGCCGCCUGGGGAGUACGGUCGCAAGAUUA